This 487-nucleotide ribosomal RNA is filed under the name Oxydromus sp. F ZW-2021. RNAcentral describes it as "partial large subunit ribosomal RNA". It matches the Rfam family "Bacterial large subunit ribosomal RNA", at positions 1862 to 2609 of the family's 2925-position model. Lineage: Eukaryota; Metazoa; Annelida; Polychaeta; Phyllodocida; Hesionidae. The record is from RNAcentral.
CCCAGUGAGUUAAGGCUUUAACGGCCGCGGUAUUUUGACCGUGCAAAGGUAGCAUAAUCCCCUGCCUUUUAAUUGAAGGCUAGUAUGAAUGGAUCCACGAGUGAUCUCUUGUCUCAUAGUUAUGUAUAUAAAUUAGCCUCCUUGUGAAGAGACAAGGAUUAAAGUAAAAGACAAAAAGACCCUGUUGAGUUUUACCUUACUUUAUUUGAUUUAAUAACCUACAUAAAUAUUAUCCCUUAUAAAUACAGGUUUGAUUGGGGCAAUCAAUGACUAAUAACACCGUCAUUAAUUUGAAAGAAUCAUUUCCCCUAAAUACCCAUUAAAAUGAAUUAGAAAUAACAUUACCACAGGGAUAACAGACCAAUCUCUUCAACGAGCCCGAAUCAUAGAAGAGGAGUGGCACCUCGAUGUUGGCUUAGGGAAACCUUUUAGUGCAGCCGCUAAAAAGGUUGGUUUGUUCAACCAUUAAAUCCCUACGUGAUCUGAG